AGCAGCCGCGGUAAUUCCAGCUCCAAUAGCGUAUAUUAAAGUUGUUGCAGUUAAAAAGCUCGUAGUUGAAUUUCGGGAUCAAUAUGUUGGUCGUGCCUUGGUACGUACUAAUUUAUUGGUUUCUUCCUUCUGACGAACCUUGAUGUCAUUAAUUUGGUGUCUUGGGGAAUCAGGACUGUUACUUUGAAAAAUUAGAGUGUUUAAAGCAGGCUCACGCUUGAAUACAUUAGCAUGGAAUAAUGAAAUAGGACGUUUGAUUCUAUUUUGUUGGUUUCUAGGAUCGACGUAAUGAUUAAUAGGGAUAGUUGGGGGCAUUAGUAUUCAAUUGUCAGAGGUGAAAUUCUUGGAUUUAUUGAAGACUAACUACUGCGAAAGCAUUUGCCAAGGAUGUUUUCAUUAAUCAAGAACGAAAGUUAGGGGAUCGAAGACGAUCAGAUACCGUCGUAGUCU
RNAcentral lists this ribosomal RNA (450 nucleotides) under uncultured Glomus. Its description in RNAcentral is "SSU rRNA". It matches the Rfam family "Eukaryotic small subunit ribosomal RNA", at positions 569 to 1026 of the family's 1831-position model. The record is from RNAcentral. Lineage: Eukaryota; Fungi; Glomeromycota; Glomeromycetes; Glomerales; Glomeraceae.